Molecule: ribosomal RNA, 493 nt
Filed under: uncultured bacterium
Lineage: Bacteria
Description: partial 16S ribosomal RNA
Rfam family: Bacterial small subunit ribosomal RNA
Source: RNAcentral
AGUGAACGCUGGCGGUAGGCCUAACACAUGCAAGUCGAACGGCAGCACAGUAAGAGCUUGCUCUUACGGGUGGCGAGUGGCGGACGGGUGAGGAAUACAUCGGAAUCUACUUUUUCGUGGGGGAUAACGUAGGGAAACUUACGCUAAUACCGCAUACGACCUACGGGUGAAAGCAGGGGAUCUUCGGACCUUGCGCGAUUGAAUGAGCCGAUGUCGGAUUAGCUAGUUGGCGGGGUAAAGGCCCACCAAGGCGACGAUCCGUAGCUGGUCUGAGAGGAUGGUCGGCCACACCGGGACUGGGAAAAGGUCCAGGCUUCCAAGGGGAGGAGCAGUAGGGAAAUAUUCGACAAGGGCGGCAGGCUUACUCCACCCCUACGGGGGAGGUAAAAAAGUCUUUGGGGCGUAAAAGUCUGUUUGUAGGGAAAGAAAAGCGGCAGAUUAACACCCCGCUGUUCUGCCGGUACCAAACAAAAAAGCACCGGCUAACUCGGUC